This 404-nucleotide unclassified non-coding RNA is filed under the name soil metagenome. RNAcentral describes it as "partial contains 5.8S ribosomal RNA, internal transcribed spacer 2, and large subunit ribosomal RNA". The stretch from base 1 to 122 matches the Rfam family "5.8S ribosomal RNA", at positions 35 to 154 of the family's 154-position model. The record is from RNAcentral.
GAUGAAGAACGCAGCAAAAUGCGAUACUUGGUGUGAAUUGCAGAAUCCCGUGAACCAUCGAGUUUUUGAACGCAAGUUGCGCCCGAAGCCUUUUGGCCGAGGGCACGUCUGCCUGGGCGUCACGCAUCGCGUCGCCCCCCACAAUUCUCCGCAAAGGGAACCUGUGUUUUGGGGGCGGAUAUUGGUCUCCCGUGCUCAUGGCGUGGUUGGCCGAAAUAGGAGUCCCUUCGACGGACGCACGAGCUAGUGGUGGUCGUGAAAACCCUCGUCUUUUGUUUCGUGCCGUCAGUCGCAAGGGAAACUCUUGGAAAACCCCAACGUGUCGUCUCUUGACGACGCUUUGACCGCGACCCCAGGUCAGGCGGGACUACCCGCUGAGUUUAAGCAUAUCAAUAAGCGGAGGA